UAAAUUUUAUUUAUUAAUUUUAUUUAUUUAAGUAUUAUAUUUAAUAAAAAUAAUUUUAAUUCAAUAUAGUUUUAGUAUUUUUUAAAGAAAUAAUAAUUUUAAUAAUAGUUUAUUUGUAUUGUAAAAGAAGAUUGAAAUAAUUUGAAAAAUUUUUAUUUUAAAAGAAAAUUUAAUUUAUUGUACCUUGUGUAUCAGGGUUUAUUAAUUAAUUAAUUAUUAUAGUAAUUUUUCUCGAAUUUUAAAGAUUUAAUUAUAUAUAAAAGUUAUUGUGGAAUAAUUAUUUUUAAUAUAUAAUUAGAAAUGAAAUGUUAAUCGUUUUAAAAUAUAUCUAGUUUUUUAAGAAAUAAAUUUAAUUUAGAUUUAUAAAUUAAAAGUAUUAUUUAUUUAAUAUUUUUAAUUUAUAAAAUUAAUAUUUUAAGGGAUUAGCUUUAAAAUAAAUUUUUAAAUUUUAAAAAAGUAUUUAAUAAAUGUAAGCUUAAAAAUAGUUAUCAUUAAUAAAUUUGUUAUAAUUCAUUUUAAAUUUUUUAUUAUUUAUUAUAAAAUUAAAUUAUUUAUUAAAAUAUAAAUUUUAAUAUUAAUGAUUUAUAAAUUAUGGUAAAAUUAGUAUAUUUAAUUUAUAUAAAUUAUUUAAAUUGAGAGGUUUAAAUAAGGAAUUCGGCAAAUUAUAUAUUCACCUGUUUAUCAAAAACAUGUCUUUUUGUAUUUAAUUUAAAGUCUAACCUGCCCACUGAUAGAUAUUAAAGGGCCGCAGUAUUUUGACUGUGCGAAGGUAGCAUAAUCAGUAGUCUUUUAAUUGAAGGCUUGUAUGAAUGGUUGAAUGAGAUAUAUACUGUCUUUUUUAAAUUUUUAUAGAAUUUUAUUUUUUAAUUAAAAAGUUAAAAUAUAAUUAAAAGACGAGAAGACCCUAUAGAUCUUUAUUUUUUUUAAUUAUAAGUUAAAAAGAAUAAUUAAAUUUAUAGUUUUAUAAAAAAUUUUACUGGGGUGGUAUUAAAAUUUAAUUAACUUUUAUUAUUUGUUUACAUUAAUAUAUGUAUAUUUGAUCCAAUUUUAUUGAUUAAAAAAUUAAGUUACCUUAGGGAUAACAGCGUAAUUUUUUUUUAGAGUUCUUAUCGACAAAAAAGAUUGCGACCUCGAUGUUGGAUUAAGAAUUAUUUUUAGGUGUAGAAGUUUAAAGUUUAGGUCUGUUCGACCUUUGAAUUCUUACAUGAUCUGAGUUCAAACCGGCGUAAGCCAGGUUGGUUUCUAUCUUUAAUAAAUUAUUAUAUUAUAGUACGAAAGGACCUAAUAUAAAAAAUAUAAAUUUUAAAUUUAUGAAUUAUAUUAAUAUUUAAUAA
RNAcentral lists this ribosomal RNA (1334 nucleotides) under Aedes albopictus (Asian tiger mosquito). RNAcentral's name for it is "16S ribosomal RNA". The stretch from base 1078 to 1237 matches the Rfam family "Archaeal large subunit ribosomal RNA", at positions 2544 to 2703 of the family's 2987-position model. Lineage: Eukaryota; Metazoa; Arthropoda; Insecta; Diptera; Culicidae. The record is from RNAcentral.